Molecule: non-coding RNA, 1309 nt
Organism: Zootermopsis nevadensis
Lineage: Eukaryota; Metazoa; Arthropoda; Insecta; Blattodea; Termopsidae
Source: RefSeq, a predicted model, not a curated record
GUCUGUUCUGCCAUCAUUCAUGUACUUUAUUACUGAAAUUCCAUCUACCUACCACAUUAAAUGUAAUGUAACGAAUAGAGUUAGGUUUCAAAACAAUAAUGUGACGAAACAUACUAAUUGCUGUCAUGGAAAGGUUCUACGCUGCCCAUAUAUCCAUUACUUUUACCCAUCUCCAUCUCUCCGGAGUAGCCUCUUGGAUUGCUUCUUCUACCAAUCUUGUCUUCGAGAGUGAAUCUCUAAUUAUUAAGCGCAACAUCUCCUUUGAUCCUACUCUACACAAGCUCGAUAGGGUUUAGAGAACUGAUAUGGAGGAAAUCUUUAAUAUACAGCUUCUGGAAGAAGUGGCAUCUUUUUGUCAAUUUUUUACUUGCUGCACACAUCUUGAAGAGCUGAAGAUUAAAACAAACCACACCGAAUGUUGUGGUUGAGUGGUUAACACUCCUUCGUAUUCAGGAGGUCCUGGAGACCGGCUAUCCUGAUAGGGUUUUUCUCAGCCCCUCCAUGUAAAUGCCAGGAUAGGACCAGAAAUUACACAACAGCUUCCUUCCACAUCCUUUCCAAUUAGAUUAUGGCAAAAUGGUAACAUGUCAACUUGAUGUGGACGUUAUGACAUAAAUGAGCACUGCAAUCUAAACUUUUAAUGUUGACACUUAAAUUAAACAAACUCUCAUGGUAUUUUACACCCAAUGAACAAUGAAUAAGCAACUGAUUUUGUUUCUCACUACUGUGACUUGUUUCACUUGCACUUAGAAAUAAACUUAAAAAAAAUCAGAAAGUUGAUUUCUGGGUAGUAAUGUUGUGUGUAUCUGUAGAUAAAUACCUAUGUUUCAGAGGAACAUACUGUUUUUAUCUUAAGCACUUCUGAACUGAACACAGAGACAGUAUAUUUAUCUGAAAUGCUGGUAUAUACCUAUACGCACAUACAGUGUCAUUACCAAGACGAACAAGAUCAACUUCUGUAGUACCUUAAAUCUUCUACACAUGACUUUCUUAACAUUUGCCAGAAUUCUUUCCAAACACAAUAAACAAAACAUAAUUCCUAUAGCCCUAUACUGUGUUUAGUCAUGCUGAAAUUGGAAAUGAAUGUUCUAGAAGGCAUGGAGAUGCAGUGUGCUGUUGGAUGUAGGCUAAUCUCCGUUCUGCUUAAAACCACGACCACAAACAUUGCACAAAAAGCGACAUUCUCCUGAAUGUAUACGCUGGGCUGCUGAUGUAGUAGAACAUGUACCCUCAUAUGCUGACGAUGAUUAAAGCCUUUCCCACACACCGGACAUUUGUGCUGACGAGCAUUAGUAUGACGCAACAUAUG